AGGUGGCGAAGAAAUCCUGUGCUUCUUCUCACUCAAGGAAGCAUGGGCAUGGUACUUCCCACCACUGCUCCGAUGGUCACCACCAUGAGCAUGUAUCUGCAGGUAAGCAUUCUUCUUGCCAUGAUCAUCACCAUGAGCAUGAUCACCACAAAGAGCCUAGCAACCUGCAUUCCACAGGCAAGCAUGGCUGCCAUGAUCAUCACCAUGAGCAUGACCACCACAAAGAGCCGAGCAACCUGCAUUCCACAGACAAGCAUGGCUGCCAUGAUCAUGGACAUGGCCAUAGCCACUGCAAAGAGACGAGCAGCCAGAUGGUCACAAGCAAGCAUGUUUCCC
RNAcentral lists this long non-coding RNA (336 nucleotides) under Triticum aestivum (bread wheat). RNAcentral's name for it is "long non-coding RNA (TAES_LNC016667)". The record is from RNAcentral. Lineage: Eukaryota; Viridiplantae; Streptophyta; Magnoliopsida; Poales; Poaceae.